GUAAUACUUCAAACAUACGAAUGAAUAUAAUGUGUGUUUUAUGUAUGAUGCUAAGUAACUAUGGUACAAUUAUCUACUUGAAGAUGUAAUGGAAUAAAAACAUAAUGAAAGAAGGAAACAUAUAGUGCAAGGAAAACAAUAUCGAUAUAAAUUUUUUUGUUCUUUUUUGUUUAUGUAUGAAAGGAUGCAAAAUAUGUUUCUUUUAACUAUGAAAAAUAACAAAUAAGUAAGGAUAAAGAUACAAGAUAGUAAGAUUUAUCUCCAGCCUAAGCUUUGAUACCAAAUGAUGCGGAGCCCAGGAUCAACUAAUAUGAUAAAAAACCCCACAUAUACUUUAGUGCUCAGAAUUUUUAAACUCUCAACAAACCCUCCCUACUUGACCUACAUUCAACACGUGAAUGUCAACCAAGGUAAUUGGGAUGACAAUUUCAAUUGAUUAAAUGUUACAAAAUGGAACCUUUAUAAGUAAAAUCAAUUUAAGAAGGAUUGAUAAAAUACAACAAAGAUUUAUCUUGAUACGUUGAAUCAAUUUCCACUCAAUAAGAAGGUUGAAGAAAACCUCACUAGUUGAAAACUAAAAACUCAUAAUGUUUUACUCAAAUUUGAAAGAAUACAACUAAGAAUUGAAGACCUAUUUAUAGAGUAAGUCACGUGCGUUACAAGAAAAUAA
RNAcentral lists this long non-coding RNA (670 nucleotides) under Carica papaya (papaya). RNAcentral's name for it is "long non-coding RNA (CPAP_LNC007017)". The record is from RNAcentral. Lineage: Eukaryota; Viridiplantae; Streptophyta; Magnoliopsida; Brassicales; Caricaceae.